GACGAACGCUGGCGGCGUGCCUAAUACAUGCAAGUAGAACGCACAGUUUAUACCGUAGCUUGCUACACCAUAGACUGUGAGUUGCGAACGGGUGAGUAACGCGUAGGUAACCUGCCUGGUAGCGGGGGAUAACUAUUGGAAACGAUAGCUAAUACCGCAUAAUAUUGAUUAUUGCAUGAUAAUUAAUUGAAAGGUGCAAUUGCACCACUACCAGAUUGACCUGCGUUGUAUUAGCUAGUAGGUGAGGUAACGGCUCACCUAGGCGACGAUACAUAGCCGACCUGAGAGGGUGAUCGGCCACACUGGGACUGAGAUCCGGCCCAGACUCCUACGCGAGGCAGCAGUAGGGAAUCUUCGGCAAUGGACGAAAGUCUGACCGAGCAACGCCGCGUGAGUGAAGAAGGUUUUCGGAUCGUAAAGCUCUGUUGUAAGAGAAGAACGGGUGUGAGAGUGGAAAGUUCACACUGUGACGGUAUCUUACCAGAAAGGGACGGCUAACUACGUG
This 505-nucleotide ribosomal RNA is filed under the name uncultured bacterium. RNAcentral's name for it is "partial 16S ribosomal RNA". It matches the Rfam family "Bacterial small subunit ribosomal RNA", at positions 28 to 507 of the family's 1533-position model. The record is from RNAcentral.